Molecule: ribosomal RNA, 484 nt
Filed under: uncultured bacterium
Lineage: Bacteria
Description: partial 16S ribosomal RNA
Rfam family: Bacterial small subunit ribosomal RNA
Source: RNAcentral
AUUGAACGCUGGCGGCAUGCUUUACACAUGCAAGUCGAACGGCAGCGCGGUCUUCGGUCUCUCUGCCGGUGGCGAAGUGGUGAAUAAUUGAUCGGAACAUGCCCAUCUGCUUGUGCUUGCUCGUCAACGUCCGGAUUCAUACGCUAUUACAGCUUACGACCUACGCGUGGAAGCUUGGGAUCUUGCGCCCUUGCACCGGCCGAUGACCGAUUAGCUAGUUGGUGGGGUAAAGGCCUACCAAGGCGACGAUCUGUAGCUGGUCUGAGAGGACGACCAGCCACACUGGAACUGAGACACGGCCCAGACUCCUACGGGAGGCAGCAGUGGGGAAUUUUGGACAAUGGGCGAAAGCCUGAUCCAGCAAUGCCGCGUGUGUGAUGAAGGCCUUCGGGUUGUAAAGCACUUUUGGCGGGAACGAAAAGGACUGGGUCAAUACCACGGUUCGAUGACGGUACCCGAAGAAUAAGCACCGGCUAACUACGUG